UACGGAGGAUCCGAGCGUUAUCCGGAAUUACUGGGUGUAAAGGGAGCGUAGACGGUUAAGUAAGUCUGGAGUGAAAGGCCGGGGCCCAACCCCCGGACUGCUUUGGAAACUGUAUAGCUAGAGUGCAGGAGAGGUAAGUGGAAUUCCUAGUGUAGCGGUGAAAUGCGUAGAUAUUAGGAGGAACACCAGUGGCGAAGGCGGCCUGCUGGACGGAGACUGACGCUGAGGCUCGAAAGCGUGGGGAGCAAACAGG
Molecule: ribosomal RNA, 253 nt
Filed under: uncultured Eubacteriales bacterium
Lineage: Bacteria; Bacillati; Bacillota; Clostridia; Eubacteriales
Description: uncultured Clostridiales bacterium partial 16S ribosomal RNA
Rfam family: Bacterial small subunit ribosomal RNA
Source: RNAcentral